This 511-nucleotide long non-coding RNA is filed under the name Homo sapiens (human). RNAcentral describes it as "non-protein coding lnc-ADCY6-1:3". The record is from RNAcentral. Lineage: Eukaryota; Metazoa; Chordata; Mammalia; Primates; Hominidae.
GGCUGCAACCAACAAAGGCAGCAAGCCCAGAUUCCGGAGUAUCCACUUUGUGACAGGCCACGAUGCAGAGGGCUCCCAAAGCCACGUCCACUUUGAUGAGAAGUUGCAGGACUCGGUGGUCAUGGUCAUCCAGGAGAGGGACAGCAGCUUUCUGGUCAAGGUUCCUGAAGAUCCUGCACAGGUAUGAGAUUACCUUUGCUCCGUCCCAGUGCACAGGCUGAGCAAGGACGUCCGCCAGGCACUUGUCCCCAGCCUGCACCUGAAGCUUCUCAGCGUCCUACCCUUCCCUGAAGGUUAUAGUGUCAAGUGCGAGUACUAGGCGCACAAAGAAGGGGUCCUCAAAGAGGGGAUGCUACUAGUCUGGGAAGGUGGCACCAGCACCUGCGUGCGCGGAAGGUGCAAGCCUGCAUCAUGGGCUGACGCCAUGGCACAUGCAUGCUGCUGGACGGUGUCAAAUGCAUGGGUGCCAAGCUGGAAUACUACUCGGAGCACAGCGACUGGCACGGCUUUG